AGCUUGUUGGUGAGGUAACGGCUCACCAAGGCGACGACGGGUAGCCGACCUGAGAGGGUGACCGGCCACACUGGGACUGAGACACGGCCCAGACUCCUACGGGAGGCAGCAGUGGGGAAUAUUGCACAAUGGGCGCAAGCCUGAUGCAGCGACGCCGCGUGAGGGAUGACGGCCUUCGGGUUGUAAACCUCUUUUGACAGGGACGAAGCGCAAGUGACGGUACCUGUAGAAGAAGCACCGGCCAACUACGUGCCAGCAGCCGCGGUAAUACGUAGGGUGCGAGCGUUGUCCGGAAUUACUGGGCGUAAAGAGCUUGUAGGCGGUCUGUCGCGUCGAUUGUGAAAACUUGCAGCUCAACUGCAAGCUUGCAGUCGAUACGGGCAGACUAGAGUACUGCAGGGGAGACUGGAAUUCCUGGUGUAGCGGUGAAAUGCGCAGAUAUCAGGAGGAACACCGGUGGCGAAGGCGGGUCUCUGGGCAGUAACUGACGCUGAGAAGCGAAAGCGUGGGUAGCGAACAGGAUUAGAUACCCUGGUAGUCCACGCCGUAAAACGGUGGGUACUAGGUGUGGG
This 572-nucleotide ribosomal RNA is filed under the name Nocardia sp. RNAcentral describes it as "bacterial SSU rRNA". It matches the Rfam family "Bacterial small subunit ribosomal RNA", at positions 243 to 826 of the family's 1533-position model. The record is from RNAcentral. Lineage: Bacteria; Bacillati; Actinomycetota; Actinomycetes; Mycobacteriales; Nocardiaceae.